This 1255-nucleotide long non-coding RNA is filed under the name Volvox carteri. RNAcentral describes it as "long non-coding RNA (VCAR_LNC001165)". Lineage: Eukaryota; Viridiplantae; Chlorophyta; Chlorophyceae; Chlamydomonadales; Volvocaceae. The record is from RNAcentral.
CCCGUUGGAGUAUAGGGUUAGGUGCGCCCCUGGCCAACGUCAGGCCCGGAAUCGAUAUGUAAUAAAUACACAGACAGACACACAGACAGACACACAGACAGACACACAGACAGGCACACAGACAGGCACACAGACAGACACACACAGACAGGCACACAGACAGACACACAGACAGACACACAGACAGGCACACAGACAGACACACACAGACAGGCACACAGACAGACACACAGACAGACACACAGACAGACACACAGACAGGCACACAGACAGACAGACAGGCACACAGACAGGCACACAGACAGACAGGCACACAGACAGGCACACAGACAGACAGACAGACAGACACACAGACAGGCACACGUACCCUAGGAAACUGCUAAAGUCACAUGCCUAAUAGAACUACCGCACCGCACAUGAACUCAUCUCCCUCACGCAACCCCAUCGUCGGGUCUAAUCACCUGCGCCGCUAGUUCGGGAAAUGUCAUAUCGUCAAAACCCUAAGUCAAGAUCUUUGUAGCUACUUUGUUCAGAAAUGUCUCGUGCUUAGGAAAACACGAUAUUAGGAAAACACGAAACAAUUCUAAACGAAGUGCCCAAAUACACGAACCAUGGAAAAAUCCCAGUCCUUAGCACUGGACGACUUCUACAAAUCCUGGGUCGACUGCCGAGGUAUCUGGUCCUUAGCGACUCACGAGGGCAAAAAUCCGACGGUUUGUAAACUGAUGGCAUUUUUGGUAAAAAAGAAAACUACCCACCGAGACACCCACAUUUCUUCCGUCAUGCUGGCCUCCCCCAUCCCCCUCACCCCCAACUCCCCACCCAAAACCCAACCUCACUAGCUCACACAUGCGCGCCCCUCUCACGCCGAUAUAUGCCGCGCCGCGCGCUUCAUCUUCCGCCGCCGCUCUGCCUCCUGCGUAACCAUAGCCUCGCGCUUUCGCCGCUUUCGAUCUGCCGCCGACGCGGAGCUGCCCAAGGUCGUGGGCUUGUCCAGCAAACAAAAGGAAUGAGCCACAUGGCCCAGGUGCAGAUUACGAACCGCAAACACUCGCUUCAAGUCGCCUGAGUGUGUGGCGUACGCGCGAACGAAGGACCGGAAGGCGUCAUUCGCCAGCUUGGCUGCGUGAGGAUCGUGCGACAACGCCAUCGCUACACGGCGGUGAAGCUGCUGAGCCAGCUGCCGUGCGGCGGCGCCGCUGGCGCCGCCAGCGGCGGCGGAGCCGCCGCCGCCACCGCCGCCUCCUUUCAGCGG